GUGGGGAAUUUUGGACAAUGGGCGCAAGCCUGAUCCAGCAAUGCCGCGUGCAGGAAGAAGGCCUUCGGGUUGUAAACUGCUUUUGUACGGAACGAAACGGUCCUGGUUAAUACCCGGGGCUAAUGACGGUACCGUAAGAAUAAGCACCGGCUAACUACGUGCCAGCAGCCGCGGUAAUACGUAGGGUGCAAGCGUUAAUCGGAAUUACUGGGCGUAAAGCGUGCGCAGGCGGUGCUGUAAGACAGGCGUGAAAUCCCCGGGCUUAACCUGGGAAUUGCGCUUGUGACUGCAGUGCUGGAGUGCGGCAGAGGGGGAUGGAAUUCCGCGUGUAGCAGUGAAAUGCGUAGAUAUGUGGAGGAACACCGAUGGCGAAGGCAAUCCCCUGGGCCUGCACUGACGCUCAUGCACGAAAGCGUGGGGAGCAAACAGGAUUAGAAACCCUUGUAGUCC
This 450-nucleotide ribosomal RNA is filed under the name uncultured bacterium. RNAcentral describes it as "partial 16S ribosomal RNA". It matches the Rfam family "Bacterial small subunit ribosomal RNA", at positions 354 to 796 of the family's 1533-position model. The record is from RNAcentral.